This 155-nucleotide ribosomal RNA is filed under the name Origanum majorana. Its description in RNAcentral is "5.8S ribosomal RNA". It matches the Rfam family "5.8S ribosomal RNA". Rfam says of the family: 5.8S ribosomal RNA (5.8S rRNA) is a component of the large subunit of the eukaryotic ribosome. It is transcribed by RNA polymerase I as part of the 45S precursor that also contains 18S and 28S rRNA. Lineage: Eukaryota; Viridiplantae; Streptophyta; Magnoliopsida; Lamiales; Lamiaceae. The record is from RNAcentral.
CUCGGCAACGGAUAUCUCGGCUCUCGCAUCGAUGAAGAACGUAGCGAAGUGCGAUACUUGGUGUGAAUUGCAGAAUCCCGUGAACCAUCGAGUCUUUGAACGCAAGUUGCGCCCGAGGCCAUUAGGCUGAGGGCACGUCUGCCUGGGCGUCACGC